CGACCGAGUCAGGCAAGGCACCGGAAAUAU
Molecule: ribosomal RNA, 30 nt
Filed under: Bolbocoleon piliferum
Lineage: Eukaryota; Viridiplantae; Chlorophyta; Ulvophyceae; Ulvales; Bolbocoleonaceae
Description: partial 28S large subunit ribosomal RNA
Source: RNAcentral